CACGUAGUUAGCCGGCGCUUCUUCUGCAGGUACCGUCACUUGCGCUUCUUCCCUGCUGAAAGCGGUUUACAACCCGAAGGCCGUCAUCCCGCACGCGGCGUCGCUGCAUCAGGCUUUCGCCCAUUGUGCAAUAUUCCCCACUGCUGCCUCCCGUAGGAGUCUGGGCCGUGUCUCAGUCCCAGUGUGGCCGGUCACCCUCUCAGGCCGGCUACCCGUCAUCGCCACGGUGAGCCACUACCUCACCGUCAAGCUGAUAGGCCGCGAGCCCAUCCAAGACCGCAAAAGCUUUCCACCACUCACCAUGCGGUAAGAGGUUAUAUCCGGUAUUAGACCCAGUUUCCCAGGCUUAUCCCAGAGUCAAGGGCAGGUUGCUCACGUGAUACUCACCCGUUCGCCACUAAUCCACUUCCUGCAAGCAGGAAGCUUCAUCGUUCGACUUGCAUGUGUUAAGCACGCCGCCAGCGUUCAUCCUGAGCCAGGAUCAAA
Molecule: ribosomal RNA, 486 nt
Filed under: uncultured Nesterenkonia sp.
Lineage: Bacteria; Bacillati; Actinomycetota; Actinomycetes; Micrococcales; Micrococcaceae
Description: partial 16S ribosomal RNA
Source: RNAcentral